RNAcentral lists this long non-coding RNA (478 nucleotides) under Fragaria vesca (wild strawberry). RNAcentral's name for it is "long non-coding RNA (FVES_LNC003487)". The record is from RNAcentral. Lineage: Eukaryota; Viridiplantae; Streptophyta; Magnoliopsida; Rosales; Rosaceae.
CCAAACCCUAUUCUCUCUUCUCUCUCUCCUCCCUCCCGACUUUCUCUUCUCUCUCUCUCUUCUCCACGCCGGAGCGCCGUCGUCCGGCCGUCGCUGGUCGAGCUACCACCCCCAAUCGACUUGUCUCUCUCUCCUCUCUCUACUGCUACCCAUCAACUUGCCAGGCAUCAUCUAUCCCGUCCGAUCGAAACAAGAACCCUAAAUCCCCAAAACCCAAAUUCCGGCCGAAUCUUUUCUUUUCCAGUGAGCUUGUGCUUCGUGAAGGUAUGCUCAUCACUUCCCUCUAGUUUUUCGGUCUUCCUUGAGCUUCGAUUUCCAAAUAUAGAGCCCUAAUCAGAUUUCCCCCUUUCUUUGUUUUCUGGGUUUGAAGUUCGGUCUCCAACAAGGGCUUUUGUUCUUGAAUUUCAGUGUGUCCGUCGAGCUCAGGCGAACCUAGUUGUGGUUGGUGGGAGCCCCGACGCACUUUGGAAGAAGUNNN